RNAcentral lists this ribosomal RNA (525 nucleotides) under Triticum aestivum (bread wheat). RNAcentral describes it as "partial small subunit ribosomal RNA". Lineage: Eukaryota; Viridiplantae; Streptophyta; Magnoliopsida; Poales; Poaceae. The record is from RNAcentral.
AUGGCCCCCGCCGUGAUGGCUUCGUCGGCUACCACCGUUGCACCCUUCCAGGGGCUCAAGUCCACAGCCGGUCUCCCCGUCAGCCGCCGCUCCAGCGCCAGCCUCGGCAGCGUCAGCAAUGGCGGAAGGAUCAGGUGCAUGCAGGUGUGGCCAAUUGAGGGCAUCAAGAAGUUCGAGACCUUGUCUUACUUGCCACCCCUCUCCACGGAAGCCCUCCUGAAGCAGGUCGACUACCUGAUCCGCUCCAAGUGGGUGCCCUGCCUCGAGUUCAGCAAGGUUGGCUUCGUCUUCCGUGAGCACAACAGCUCCCCCGGGUACUACGACGGUCGAUACUGGACAAUGUGGAAGCUGCCCAUGUUUGGGUGCACCGACGCCACACAGGUGCUCAACGAGGUGGAGGAGGUCAAGAAGGAGUACCCUGACGCCUAUGUCCGUGUCAUCGGCUUCGACAACCUGCGCCAGGUGCAGUGCGUCAGCUUCAUCGCCUUCAGGCCACCGGGUUGCGAGGAGUCCGGCAAGGCCUAA